UUGCAUGUGAAGAAUUACUCUGAUCCCCUUCAUGAUAGUAUGGUGAUGUAACCCCGAGUUUCAGAUGCU
This 69-nucleotide small nucleolar RNA is filed under the name Cephalotus follicularis. RNAcentral's name for it is "Small nucleolar RNA snoR60". It matches the Rfam family "Small nucleolar RNA snoR60". From Rfam's summary of the family: snoR60 is a member of the C/D class of snoRNA which contain the C (UGAUGA) and D (CUGA) box motifs. Most of the members of the box C/D family function in directing site-specific 2'-O-methylation of substrate RNAs. Lineage: Eukaryota; Viridiplantae; Streptophyta; Magnoliopsida; Oxalidales; Cephalotaceae. The record is from Rfam by way of RNAcentral.